UCCUCCCACAACCAAAAGUUCAGAUGAUUUUCCCAAAAGCGCAAGACCCUGGAAAGUUUUUUCGUGUUUGUUAAAGGUUCUUUUGGAUCACUUUUAUCUUCACCAGAGGAUUUGAAAUUGGAGCAAAGUUUUAAAUGAAUUGAUGAUUGCAAUCUGAACAAAGUUGAGAAUAAAUUGAGAAAUAUAUCAUACUACUUUUGGAAAACUUCUGAUUCUUCCUUUUAAUAUUUGCACUUCUGAAGUUUCAACUUGAAACUAUGGUUUUUCAAUUGAGUCAGAACGUCGUUCAUGGUUCAUUGUGUUCUUUUCAAUCUGUAUACUACCAAUUAAUAAAUUGCCUCCAUUGCUUUAA
Molecule: long non-coding RNA, 352 nt
Organism: Xenia sp. Carnegie-2017
Lineage: Eukaryota; Metazoa; Cnidaria; Anthozoa; Malacalcyonacea; Xeniidae
Exons: 2
Source: RefSeq, a predicted model, not a curated record